Molecule: ribosomal RNA, 495 nt
Filed under: uncultured bacterium
Lineage: Bacteria
Description: partial 16S ribosomal RNA
Rfam family: Bacterial small subunit ribosomal RNA
Source: RNAcentral
GACGAACGCUGGCGGCGUGCCUAAUACAUGCAAGUAGAACGCUGAAGGAGGAGCUUGCUUCUCUGGAUGAGUUGCGAACGGGUGAGUAACGCGUAGGUAACCUGCCUGGUAGCGGGGGAUAACUAUUGGAAACGAUAGCUAAUACCGCAUAACAGUAGAUAUCGCAUGAUAUCUACUUGAAAGGUGCAAUUGCAUCACUACCAGAUGGACCUGCGUUGUAUUAGCUAGUUGGUGAGGUAACGGCUCACCAAGGCGACGAUACAUAGCCGACCUGAGAGGGUGAUCGGCCACACUGGGACUGAGACACGGCCCAGACUCCUACGGGAGGCAGCAGUAGGGAAUCUUCGGCAAUGGACGGAAGUCUGACCGAGCAACGCCGCGUGAGUGAAGAAGGUUUUCGGAUCGUAAAGCUCUGUUGUAAGAGAAGAACGAGUGUGAGAGUGGAAAGUUCACACUGUGACGGUAUCUUACCAGAAAGGGACGGCUAACUACGCG